GCCGAAGCAGGGUGCUGCUUACAGAAACGUAGCGUGUUCGAUGCUGGUUCAUUUAUGUUUCGCGACAUGAGUAUCGUGUGUACACGUGGUGUCAGUGUACACAACCGACCAUCUGGAAAUUGGGACGAGGGAAUUUUGGUCACGAUGAAAACAUUGCUUGAUCGGACACAUUGUUGCUGCUGCCUACUCUAUUUCCCUAGUUUUCCUAUAUACAUAUGUACCUUGGUUCCUUUUGUUUGCUGCCACUGUGCUUGCCUUUCGAUCUUCCGAUUUAUUCUUAAGUCACCGUUGAACAAAUUGGGGAAGAACGAUCUUCU
Molecule: long non-coding RNA, 317 nt
Organism: Osmia bicornis bicornis
Lineage: Eukaryota; Metazoa; Arthropoda; Insecta; Hymenoptera; Megachilidae
Exons: 3
Source: RefSeq, a predicted model, not a curated record